UCAGUGCUCUGGUCUAGUUGACAAGGUAGUGAUUGGUCAAAGGUUGGACUCCGUGAUAUUGGAGGCCUUUUCCAACCUUAAUGAUUCUGUGAUUCCGUGAAAGGUGUCUGGUAAUGAGUGCACAGCUUCUCUGUGCCUGGGCAGGUGGGAAUCCAGCUCUCUGCUGCCUGGGCAGGUGGGAAUCCUAAUAGCAAGGCCCACAGGGUGUUCUUGCUUCCUGACAGCAGCCCAGGGUUUUACAGAAACAAGGGCAGACCACUUUCUGCAUAAGUUAAUGGACAGAGAAUUGAUGAACGAUGUCCCAGAGAUGUUUUGGGUAUUGAAGGAAACGUUUCCCCCAGACCUAGCCUUUUGCAAGCCAAACUGAAAAGAACACUGUACGUGUCAGCUCCUCAGCUUGGCCCAAAGUACUGCAGAGAGAUAACCUGCAGUUCCCUUUCAUUUCUCUUCCAACAACCUAUGGAAAUGGAUUGCCUGCUUUGCAUUGAGUAACUGUAUUGUCUGCAGUCAGCUUUACCUGUCUAGGGUUAAAGAAGCAACUGGUGAAACACCAGGGCAUUCCCUAAAGAGGGUAAUAGUAAACCCAGGUAUGGGAAAAUGCCCAAAGAGAUCAGCUCUGCAGCAAUCCUCCCAGUAGGGACAGCAGAGUGAGCCCUGAGUGGGCUGUAAAACCAGUAUCAGAGCUGGUUAAACUGGUCUGAGGGAAAAAAAAGGUGGCUUCAGGUAGGCAGUGUUGGUCAGGAGACCUCCCAGGCAUGCAGCAGGGUGGCAGGGAUGCUGGGUGGCAAAUAUCCCAAAGGAAGCACAGCCAAAACCAGCUCUGGGUUUACUCUGGAGGUGCUGCCGAAGGGGGUGUGAGCUGUGGAGUGCUCCUCCUGACCUGCCCUCUCAAGGGUGCUCAAGUACCGCUGGGUAUUUGCCUCUGUAUUUUUGUCCCCCAUGUUGGGAAAAAAAAACAAGACAGUCAGCAAAACUCAAAGUGUCUCUCUGAGGAAUUUGAUUCAAGCCAGGAAAUUCAGAGGCAGCUUCCCUGUGAGAUCCAGGUCAGCAGUCUUAGCUUUACAAGCUGACAUCUGCCAUUAGAGCCGCUCCCAUGAUUUAACUCUUUGUUGCUGUUAUUAACAGGCUUUUUUUGAAUAUAGUUUUUACAGUUCCUUUUUGGUGUUUUGGUCUGGGUUUAAUUUUUAUUUUAUCCCCUGCUUUCUGUAAAUAGCUUUCUGACUGGCAGGUCUCAAGGACUAACCCUAUAAAGCCAUUGAAAUGUAGCGAUUCCCCCUGUUUUCAGUGGGAGCAAAAGGGAAUUACUGUUAUUUAGACCUUUCUUUGAGCCUGACUGUCGGUGUCUUUGUGCAUCAUGUUUCCUAUUGCUAAGAGAAAGGAAAGCCUCAGUUCCUUGUCUUCCAGAAGGAUCAAAAGCCUUGUGGAUGAGUGUCUGCAAUGGACUUUCGGGCUUCCAAGGGAAGAACAAAGUAUUAAUAAGCAGUAGUAUUGGCAAUAGCACAACCACAUUCUUCACACGAACUGAAAUACUGGCUGAUCCUUCAAAAGUCUUGCUGAUGCCCUUACUGACUGUGCUCCAGGGAGGAAAAAUAACACAGCCUCCAAAGCCGGUCACUGACCAUGUCCCAGGCAGCAAAGUACCAGUUCUGAUCCUCUGCAAGGAGGGAGGACACACUACUCGUAGCAUUAAAGGACGGAGCAGAUAAGUACUGUCUAUAGAUAAAUGAACCUUAAUAUCAAUAUAAGAUUCUGCUCUUAUGGGUACAUAAAUCCUACUUAAUAUAAGCCCCGAGUCUGUGACAUUUUGGUUGCAGCUCCAUUUACCUACAGCAGCUGUAGCCAGGAUGCCCAGUGGCAGCACAGACCUGGAAAUCAUUUAGGAUGCUCUGCAUUGGUCACCAUGCAGGGAGACUGAGACUUCUCCUGCACAGAGCAGCUCAAGGGCCAUGUGUUUGGGGGAAGUGACAGUCACCUCCCAGGCCCCGGGCUCCAUUCCUGACUGCUGAUGACUCAUUAGGAAAAUUAUUUCUGCUUCCAUUUCUGAGCUACCACCACCACCUAAUUUCCACUGGGUCUGUCAGUCCAUUCAGGAGCACAGCAACCCCUGCAAGGAAUUGCCACCCUGGCUUGGGAACUGCUGUUCCAGAGGUCACUAGAGAACUUUAUUAAUACUCAUUGCAUUAACCUCCCAGCUAGCCAGUGACAGAAAUGCCAUUUCUCCCAUUUUAUAGCUGAGAAAAAUGAAGCGUAGACAGAUCCAUCACCUGGUUACAGAGUCAAUGGGAAUUCUUAAUGCUCCAUAAAUCUGAAAAUUAGGCUGUCAGCAACUUCUCCUGAAGCGAACCUGCAGCAAAGCUGUCCAGGAGCCCAGUUCCUACCCAUCAGAAAAAAAAAAAACAAAACAAAACAACCAAAAGGAAAAGGUAUCUGGGAGAAGAGUCAUCUUUACACUGCAAGCAGCUACAUCAUUCAGGUCUUCUGAAGAGGAAUUUGACUUGAUUAAGCUAAAAUAAGGUUAGAAUAGUUUGGUGAUUCUUCUGUAAUACUGAAAUACUGUCUCCAAAGUUUCCAGGCCCUACAGAGACCUGAAGAGAAAUGUCCUGCAACUGCUGUUUCAAUAUGUGUGUCCUGAGGCAAAGCUAUGGAGGAGCAUGACUUAAUUUCUGACCUACAGCAGUGUAAAUACCUGAUUCACUGCUCAGAACUAUGAAAUUCCAUUUACAGGGGGAAAAAAAAAGAUACUGUCUCAUUAUUAAACACCACACUAAAUGCACGUGCCCAGGGAUAGAGUGAAGGUUCCCCUGUGGCUCGUCCUUUUCCUCUGAGAGCCUUUGACCUUGUAUUAAAGAUGGGCUUUGAUGCCUGAAAUGGAAGAAAAAAAUUCUCCAAGCAAUAUUAGUAUAGAUAAGAUAGAGAGCAGCUCUUUUAAUGAAGGCCUCCAAGGUUGCUUUGCCUAUAAUGAUAUCUUGCUGUCCCGGUCCAGGUGCAUAUGUCCUAAAUAAGAUGUGUUUGCUGGAGUCUUUUCCUUGAGAAGACCACUAAACAAGUCUAAAGAAUUUAGAAAAUUCAAUAUGAAGCGUGAGAACAGGUUUGGUGACUGUCAACUGCUAUUCUGAAGUGUGAGAAACUUUACAGCCGUAUUAAAAAUCCAUAUUUGCUAAAAAUCUUAAAAAUCCUAAGGCAUCAGCUUUCUGGGCAAAUGUUAACUAAACCCUCUGCUUGGUGUACACAGGGCCAGAGGUGGUUUCUCUCACACACAAGCUUGGUUUGUGCAAGCCCAGGUCUAUCCUGGGACAGUGAAGCUCUGCUGAGCUCUCUGUUUCUCACACAGUGCAGGGUGAGGCUUAGCUGAUCCUUACCUGCUCCCAUGGACACCCCCAAAUCUGGCCAAACCCAGCCCCUGCUGUCCCUCCCACCCUCAGCUAAUACACAUGUCUAAAUACAACCGUGAUCAAAUU
Molecule: long non-coding RNA, 3458 nt
Organism: Lepidothrix coronata (blue-crowned manakin)
Lineage: Eukaryota; Metazoa; Chordata; Aves; Passeriformes; Pipridae
Exons: 3
Source: RefSeq, a predicted model, not a curated record